This 1236-nucleotide small RNA is filed under the name Pongo abelii (Sumatran orangutan). RNAcentral's name for it is "retained intron". The record is from RNAcentral. Lineage: Eukaryota; Metazoa; Chordata; Mammalia; Primates; Hominidae.
CUCUUUCACUCUUUCCUUCCCAGUCCCUCAACACCUUACACUAAGUCAAAGCGUGGCCACAGAGAAGAGGAGCAAGAAGACCUGACAAAGGACAUGGACGAGCCAUCACCAGUCCCCAAUGUAGAAGAGGUGACGCUUCCCAAAACAGUCAACACAAAGAAAGACUCAGAGUCGGCCCCAGUCAAAGGCGGCACCAUGACUGACCUGGAUGAACAGGAAGAUGAAAGCAUGGAGACGACGGGCAAGGUGGAGCCAGUUUAGAGAGGCCCUACCUCUCUAUGUGAUUCUGAUUUGUGAUUAUAAAGUUCAUUCUGCCCAAACUUUUCACUGCCCAGACUUUACCCACCGUAGACUAAUUCUAGCUUGGUUCAAAACUCUGACCCUUUCAGAGUCCUGGGGCCCAUGACUGCUCAGUCCCAUCACCCAUCUUUAGUGUCCACAUUCCUGGGGUGUGGGAGAAGCAGAGGGUUGCUAGGAAGGAAACAGGAAUGCUGAGUGUCCAGCAGCCUCCAUACUCGUAGGAUGAGGAUGAGAACAGUACGGGGAACAAGGGAGAGCAGACCAAGAAUCCAGACCUGCAUGAGGACAACGUGACUGAACAGACCCACCACAUCAUCAUUCCCAGCUACGCUGCCUGGUUUGACUACAAUAGCGUUCAUGCCAUUGAGCGGAGGGCUCUCCCCGAGUUCUUCAACGGCAAGAACAAGUCCAAGACUCCAGAGAUCUACCUGGCCUAUCGAAACUUUAUGAUUGACACUUACCGACUGAACCCCCAAGAGUAUCUUACCUCUACCGCCUGCCGCCGAAACCUAGCGGGUGAUGUCUGUGCCAUCAUGAGGGUCCAUGCCUUCCUAGAACAGUGGGGUCUUAUUAACUACCAGGUGGAUGCUGAGAGUCGACCAACCCCAAUGGGGCCUCCGCCUACCUCUCACUUCCAUGUCUUGGCUGACACACCAUCAGGGCUGGUGCCUCUGCAGCCCAAGACACCUCAGCAGACCUCUGCUUCCCAACAAAUGCUCAACUUUCCUGACAAAGGCAAAGAGAAACCAACAGACAUGCAAAACUUUGGGCUGCGCACAGACAUGUACACAAAAAAGAAUGUUCCCUCCAAGAGCAAAGCUGCAGCCAGUGCCACUCGUGAGUGGACAGAACAGGAAACCCUGCUUCUCCUGGAGGCACUGGAAAUGUACAAAGAUGACUGGAACAAAGUGUCCGAGCAUGUGGGAAGCCGCACAC